CAGCCGCCACGGGAAUACGAAGGGGGCUAGCGUUGUUCGGAUUUACUGGGCGUAAAGCGCACGUAGGCGGAUCGAUCAGUCAGGGGUGAAAUCCUGGAGCUCAACUCCAGAACUGCCUUUGAUACUGUCUAUCUCGAGUCCGGAAGAGGUGAGUGGAACUCCUAGUGUAGAGGUGGAAUUCGUAGAUAUUAGGAAGAACACCAGUGGCGAAGGCGGCUCACUGGUCCGGUACUGACGCUGAGGUGCGAAAGCGUGGGGAGCAAACAGGAUUAGAUACCCCAGUAGUCCCUGUCUCUUAUAC
This 301-nucleotide ribosomal RNA is filed under the name uncultured bacterium. RNAcentral describes it as "partial 16S ribosomal RNA". It matches the Rfam family "Bacterial small subunit ribosomal RNA", at positions 509 to 807 of the family's 1533-position model. The record is from RNAcentral.